CAUCGAGUCAGGUGGAAACAGUUUCGGUGGAGAUGCUUUAAAACUAGACUGAACAAAGCAGGAGAGAACUGAGCAAGGUGGUUGAUGAAUGCAUUUAUUCCGGAGUAAUGAUUUGAUGGGGGAUGGAGGAAAGAAACAUUCAAAUUCCUAAUGAAUAUAAUUCAGAAGGAAUCAUUCGACCAGCAUGUUAGAGAAAAUCUGUUCUGGUGGGAGUGUUUCUGCACUGGCAGAGCCCAGUAGGUAUUUCUGUCCCUGGCUUUUGUGAUUGCAGUAGGUGACUAUAUAAAGAGGGGAUCUGAGGAAAAAAAAUAUAUGCACGCAUAUAAUAAAUGUAUUUGUGUGUGUAUAUAAAUAUAUAUAGGUAUAAUUUUAGAAAAUAAAAUACAAGUGUGGAAAUCAGCAUCUACAUGUGAACUUUUAUGAAGCAUCCAAUGCAAGCUUUUCCAUCUCGCUAUAGGAUCAGCUGUUCAGAAACAGCCCUACACUCCCAAUUUUUUUCCCCCAACAUCACAUGUUCAGAGCUGAUUUUUCAUGUAUCUUUUCAGGCAGUAGGGUUGGCUUGCUUAUCCCAAAGAAGUCCCCCCAUGACGGGAUUGAGAUGAGGAGUUUUACUUGCACAUCUGGAGAAAGGGACUGAGCUGCUUGCCCCAUCUUUUCUGGGAGAGGGAAGCCGUGGUUGAAUUCUGCUCGUGCUUAAUUCUUUACUUUCGCUCUUGGUGUCUGUGCAAACACAGGCAGGCGGGUGCCUGGGGGAGCCGUGGAGGCAGCCCCUUCCCGAUUAACGAGGAGGCUGGGGAAUGGCGGUGAUUAACAGGGUACAGUGGCACCAGCCACACCAGUUUGUGUGCAGGGGUGGAGGGCAAAGAGGUAUAUAAAACCCCGCUAACCCCCCGGUAAACCCAUGCUCGUGAUGUACCUGCUGCAUUUAGACAGUCCCUCCCUACCUGGCAUCGCUUCUUCGCUUUGUGUCUUUUUUUUAAGUGCUCUGGAGGGACGAGGGUCACGCGGGGCAGGGGCUCUGCUUUUGGGCCGGGGAUGGGAUGUGGCUAGCUGUACCAGAGCUGUGAUAACCCRGUGGCCCACCUGGCUCUGCCAGAGGCUUAACCCUCUGCCCUGUUUGURUAGCUAUCGGCUUCAGCUGGGUCUCUUCUCCCAUGCAGCCCAAAGCCAGGAGAGAAGGUGUCUCCUAAGGCUCUUUGCCCGCGCGGUGCCGGGCCGGAGCGCCGGGGCCCGGGAGCCCAGAGCGAGCGCUGCCGGCAUCGCGGGGGGCUUCUCGGCGGGGCUCCCUCCCGGUCGAGCGGUAGCACGCAGGGCCGGCAGCACGUGGGCAAGGUUGCUCGAGCUGGGCCUUCAUGUCUUUGUUCUUCCAGCAGCGCUGGGAUGGGCAACUGGGAGCAGGCAGAGGCAGAAAUGUGAGAAGCCGCAUGGGCAGGAAGGGGACACGACUACGCGUUUGUGGAGUGGGAUGCCUUGGGAAGGGCAGGGACGUCUCCACCUGAACAAGGAGAGAUCCCAGUGAGAGGAGAAGGGACCUUUCAAGCCUUGGAGUUCCUUGUCACUGUUGGUUACCACCUGCCUGGACUUGCUGUCUGACAUCUCCAAGCCUUGCCAGGAGGGAGGGUCCAACCUGCUUCUCCGAUGGCCCCAGAGAAGAGGUGGCUUUUGCUCAUGAACACAGAGGGUUUCUGCAUUGCUUCAAAUCCCCUCGGUCCACCCUUGCGGAGGGAGCCAGGGAAACCCAGGAAGCCAGGAGAAAAUCCCAUGUAACUCCUGUAUGUUGUGUCURUCUUUGGUGCCCUAAAUACCUCUGGGCAAGAUUGUCCUGCUUGGGCAGAGAGAUCUAAGCAAGCCACUGUCUCAACUGGCAAAACACUGUGUGCAGGAAGGUUAGAGGGAGCAGCAGGACAAUCCGAGCUGGCGGAGUAGUUUUGUAGCACCGGGGAACAUGCAGGUUGGGCUUUGAGCAUGGAGYGCAGCCAUCCUGGUGGGGCUGUGUGUGUAGAGCCUGCAGGACUGCACAUCUCUCUGGGCCGGACAGUCCUGCUGCUCUUUCAUUGCCCUUGUCUCUGUUCUUGUAAGAGAAAUGUACUGGCUGUAAUUCCCUUCCAUUAAAAUCGACCCCCACCCAAUGCACUGCUGAAAAUAAACACUCUGUUUUAUGAAAAUGAGCCGUGUGA
RNAcentral lists this long non-coding RNA (2177 nucleotides) under Dromaius novaehollandiae (emu). Its description in RNAcentral is "lncRNA (ENSDNVG00000005687.1)". Lineage: Eukaryota; Metazoa; Chordata; Aves; Casuariiformes; Dromaiidae. The record is from RNAcentral.